ACUCAAAUGAAUUGACGGGGACCCGCACAAGCGGUGGAGCAUGUGGUUUAAUUCGACGAUAAGCGAGGAACCUCACCAAGGUUUGACAUCCGGCUGCAGAGCUCGAGAAAUCGAGCAGUCUUCGAGAGUGCCGGACAGAUGCUGCAUGGUUGUCGUCAGCUCGUGUCGUGAGAUGUACCGUUAAGUCGGGAAACGAGCGCAACCCCUACCCUAUGUUUCAUGUGUCAUAGGGAACUGUCCGCUAUAAGUGGGAGGAAGGUGGGGAUGACGUCAAAUCAGCAUGGUUCUUACACCUUGGGCGACACACGUGCUACAAUGGGAAGUACAACGGGACGCCAAAUCGCAAGAUGGAGCAAACCCCACAAAACUUCUCUCAGUUCGGAUUGAAGUCUGAAACUCGACUUCAUGAAGCUGGAAUCGCUAGUAAACGCGUAUCAGCCACGACGCGUUGAAUACGUUCUCGGGUCUUGUACACACCGCCCGU
Molecule: ribosomal RNA, 484 nt
Filed under: uncultured bacterium
Lineage: Bacteria
Description: partial 16S ribosomal RNA
Rfam family: Bacterial small subunit ribosomal RNA
Source: RNAcentral